GAUGAACGCUGGCUACAGGCUUAACACAUGCAAGUCGAGGGGAAACGACGGGGAAGCUUGCUUCCCCGGGCGUCGACCGGCGCACGGGUGAGUAACGCGUAUCCAACCUGCCUCUGACUGAGGGAUAACCCGUCGAAAGUCGGCCUAAUACCUCAUGGCAUCGUCUGCGGGCAUCCAACGACGAUUAAAGAUUUCAUCGGUCAGGGAUGGGGAUGCGUCUGAUUAGCUUGUUGGCGGGGUAACGGCCCACCAAGGCUACGAUCAGUAGGGGUUCUGAGAGGAAGGCCCCCCACAUUGGAACUGAGACACGGUCCAAACUCCUACGGGAGGCAGCAGUGAGGAAUAUUGGUCAAUGGGCGGGAGCCUGAACCAGCCAAGUAGCGUGCAGGAUGACGGCGCUAUGGGUUGUAAACUGCUUUUAUGCGGGGAUAAAGUGAGGGACGUGUCCUUCAUUGAAGGUACCGAAUGAAUAAGGACCGGCUAAUUCCGUG
This 491-nucleotide ribosomal RNA is filed under the name uncultured bacterium. RNAcentral describes it as "partial 16S ribosomal RNA". It matches the Rfam family "Bacterial small subunit ribosomal RNA", at positions 28 to 507 of the family's 1533-position model. The record is from RNAcentral.